AGAGUUUGAUCCUGGCUCAGAUUGAACGCUGGCGGCACGCCUAACACAUGCAAGUCGAGCGGUAACAUAGCUAGUAGAAAUACUAGUUGAUGACGAGCGGCGGACGGGUGAGUAACACGUAGGAACUUGCCCAGAAGAGGGGGAUAACCAAGGGAAACUUUGGCUAAUACCGCAUAAUACUCGAGAGAGGAAAGCUUUUG
Molecule: ribosomal RNA, 200 nt
Filed under: uncultured bacterium
Lineage: Bacteria
Description: partial 16S ribosomal RNA
Rfam family: Bacterial small subunit ribosomal RNA
Source: RNAcentral